Molecule: signal recognition particle RNA, 299 nt
Filed under: Aotus nancymaae (Ma's night monkey)
Lineage: Eukaryota; Metazoa; Chordata; Mammalia; Primates; Aotidae
Description: Metazoan signal recognition particle RNA (ENSANAG00000005900.1)
Rfam family: Metazoan signal recognition particle RNA
About the family: The signal recognition particle (SRP) is a universally conserved ribonucleoprotein. It is involved in the co-translational targeting of proteins to membranes. The eukaryotic SRP consists of a 300-nucleotide 7S RNA and six proteins: SRPs 72, 68, 54, 19, 14, and 9.
Source: RNAcentral
GCCAGGUGCAGUGGCACAUGCCUGUAAUCCCAGCUACUUGGGAGGCUGACGCUGGAGGAUCGCUUGAGUCCAGGAGUUCUGGGCUGUAAUGCACUAUGCCAAUUGGGUGUCUGCACUAAGUUCGGCAUCAAUAUGGUGACCUCCUGGGAGCGGGGUGCCACCAGGUUGCCUAAGGAGGGGUAAACUAGCCCAGGUCAGAAAUGGAGGAGGUCAAAACUCCUGGGCUUAUCAGUAGUGGGAUUUUGCCUGUGAAUAGCCACUGCACUACAGCCUGGGCAACAUAGCAAGACCCCAUCUCU